UGAAACAUCAAACUUCAGUUAUUUAGCAUCAUAAUCCUCUGUUCAAACCGGUAUAUUCAACAUCCCCAAAUAUGCAAAAUAAAACUAUUUCGCACAAAAGUUCUCUGUAAAUUUUGUAAGGGAAAUGGUGAAAACAAAAAUUUUGUUAUUAACACCGUUCCCUUUCCAAAAUCCUGAUCUAUAACACAAGAAAUAAGGAGGUACUUUGGAAAUUAUUAGUGAAAAUAAAUCAGCCAAACAUCACAAUAGACAACACAUAACAAAACUCCACCUAAAAGCUGAAAUCCAAAUUCACCCACUUGCUACUAGUCAUAGGUGAAUCUUACUGUAUAACCAAAAAGCACAAAAAAAAAGAGGAAACAACCAUGCCUAUCCAACUGAAACUACAGGGGUUUUAUUAUGUCAUUAAAUCUAGAUUACAAAAGUUUCCUUGAUUUCUUUUCUAUUUUGAAGAACUCCAUCUAGAUCUUACUGAAAUGCUUUCCAAAUAAUCGUAUCUAGAUCUUCCUUGAAAAACCUUUUUUCCUCGUGCAUUCUCAAUUUAUUAUCCCCCCAUAAAUUCUUAAUGGAUAAAGCAACAUAAGAAAAUAUUUUCCCCUAGCCUUAGCAUAAGGCAAAUAGGGAAGAUAUUUGAGGUAAGAGUGAGAAAUAGCAUGUACCAAUAUCAGAAAAGUUAAAAAGGAAAUUAGGUCUAAAAUAGUGUAUCAUAUUUUCAUUGUAUGAAGGCAUAGCUGCAGAGACAAUAAAUAGAUACAGCCAAACACUAACCGACAAAAAAAAUAGACACCUAUGCUAAUAGAAAAGAGAAAACAGUAAUCGGUGCACUGCACCACUAAUGCAGCAGGGGAAAGCACAGCUGUCCCAUAAAUCAAAACAGAAUUAAUUCAGCUCCCCUCUAGGUGACGUGUGUCUGUGUUAUUUAAUAGCCCCCCACAAGCUGGAGACCCAGCUUGGGAACUAGAGAAUGAAAAUGUUUGGGGCUCAAAGCUUUGGUGUGGAUGUCAGCAAGUUGUUAAGAAGAAGAAAUAGGCAAUAAUCUCAUUAGCCCAUGUCGAGUCUUUUCUCUACAAUGUGACAUUCCAACUCUAUAUGCUUUGUCCCUUCAUGGAAAACUGGGUUGGCAGCUAUAUGCAAAGCAGAUUGAUUGUCACAAUAAAGCAAAGUUGGAGUCUUGAAAGGGACUUGAAGAUCUUGCAAGAGAAAGGACAAGCAGCCCAGUCACUUUCAUGAAAGCUUUCAGUUGAAGGGCAGAAUCAGAUGGGAAAAAUAAUCCUAGGCCUGGUGCCUUUUUGAUGUAACAAAGAAUCCUGAGAGCAGCAAUGUAGUGUGCUGUUGUUGUCUUGGAAAGGAAUUGUGCAAGAUGAUGCACAGCAUAAGUUAUAUCUGGCCGUGUGUCUGUGUUAGGUUCCUUUAUACAAGGAGCCGAACAGUAGCAAAAAAUACACACACUCAACAGUAUAAAGAAAUAUGCAUGUAUCUAUAUUUCUAUUUCCUCUGUAAUGUAUAGAAAAGAUGAAUACAGGUAUCUAUCUCUCCCCCAAGGAAGCCUCCCUUCCUCCACUGGCCACUAGGUCCAGUCUCAAUUCCAAAAUAAUAUUCGAUACCCUCUCUCCUUAA
This is a long non-coding RNA of Vigna angularis (adzuki bean), 1617 nucleotides long. RefSeq lists it as uncharacterized. The record is from RefSeq and is a predicted model, not a curated record. The transcript has 2 exons. Lineage: Eukaryota; Viridiplantae; Streptophyta; Magnoliopsida; Fabales; Fabaceae.